Molecule: long non-coding RNA, 3238 nt
Filed under: Salvia miltiorrhiza (redroot sage)
Lineage: Eukaryota; Viridiplantae; Streptophyta; Magnoliopsida; Lamiales; Lamiaceae
Description: long non-coding RNA (SMIL_LNC009199)
Source: RNAcentral
AAAGACUAGUAUACCCAGCUAGAUUAUCAAGGUAUGUAAUUUCGAGGACGAAAUUUUUUUUAAGGAGGGAGGGAUGUAAUACCCCGUUUCCCCGAGCUAAAUUUAGAAUUUAUUUUCGAACUUAGAUUUAAGAUGAUUCACGCCGGAUUGAGAAAAAGAAUUUAUUUUUAAUUCCAACAAAAAUGAUUUACAAAAACAUUUGUAAAUUUAGUUAUUGAAUUUAUAUGCAUUGCAUAUUUAUUUAAUUUAGCAUUCAAGUAUUUUCACGAGCUAUUUAUUUAGCGAACCCUGAAGUAUUAUUACAGUCCCGGUAUUUUAUGUUCCUAAUAGCCACCCUAUAUCAUGAUUAUUUUUUUCAUACAUGUCACAAUUAAAUCCUCUCAUAUCUUAUCAAAUCAUCUUAUAUCUUAUCAAAUUCUUUUGCUUUAGUUGUCCACUCUCUUUUGUUUCCACUUUCUUUUGUUUUUAUGCUGUCAAAAUUCCACUUAGCAAAUCAGCCAAAUCUUUCACACAAACCUCUCACCGUGGAGCUUUUCCCUUCUUCAAUUAGCUUUUCAACAACAAGCUCAUCAUUUUUCUUCUUUCACGGAAGGUUUCUGCUUCUGUAUUUUUACAGAAAGCCUGCAUUGAUUUCAUCUAUGAUAAUCCAAGCAGACACAACCCACACAUAACAACUCUAAUCAACAGGCAAUAGCUUCAUCUGAAAUCCUCUCUCAUCCGUAAAUUGGAGAAAACCAGUCUGCUUUCACGGAGGUAAUCGAUAAUCCAGCAUCAUAUAUACACUAAGAGUCAUCCCUCAUACCAGAGACACAUGAACUUUUAUGUACUGACCAUAUGAUAAAAUUUUACUUCAAGUAUAAUCUUUACAUACAUAUACACAAAAGAAAUUUUCAGCACUUGAGCUAUCAAAGUAUUUUUCUUUCAUAAGAUGCUUUUGUGUGUGAUGGUGUGUGUGUGUGUGAAGUUCGAGAGGCUGCUGCUGGGGUCGAGAGAUCGGCGAGAGUGGAAGAGGGAGGCCAGGGCGCGGCAGCCUUGCUGUUGCUGUCGUCCGGCCACGGACGAGGGAGAGUUCAUGUGGCUGGUCGGAGCUGGUCUGGGUGGAGGUUAGGGCUCCGGCGGGCGGCUCCGGCUGCUGCUCGUCGGCGGGAGUCAUAGAGAGAAUUCCGAGGGAGAUAAGAGGGCGGCGAUGGUGGCGGCAUGAAGCUGCUGCCGUCGGCCAAAGUUCAGCGGAGGGAGGUAGAGCUCGGCGGCCUUGGCUGCUGUCGCUCGACCACUAUCAGAGAGAGAGAGCUGGUGGCGGCAGCUCGUCGCUGCUGCUCCUCCGGCGAGCUCCACGGUGGGCGGCUGUUACCAGCCGAAGAGAGAGGGGCCGAGGGAGGCGGCUGGUCUUUUCGGUUGAUGCGGCUGCCGGUCGACGGCUGCCUCGCCGGAAGGAUGCGCGGUGGCGGGACUGAUGGCUGAGAGAGAAGGGAGCGAGAGAUGAGGGAAGAGGGAGCCGAGAGAGGGAGAGGAGGGUGCUGCUGUGAUUGUUACGUGUGUGUGUGAGCGGCUGAGGGGGGGGGGGAGAAAAAGGGGGUGGAGUGUAGGGUUGGGCUUUGGGAUUGGGUUUGAGUUGGGCUAGGGCUUAGAUGGAGUGAUGGGCCGAUUUUUUUUUUAUGGGCUGGGUUCUUAAUUUAAUUUUCAGUGGGCUUGACUUGGGCCGAUUUUAAUUGAGUGUUGGGCCGAGUUUUUAUUUAUUUUUGUUUCAGUUUGGGCCUUUACUUAUUAAAUCAAUUGGGCCAUUAAUUUUCAAUUGGGCUCAGUUUAUUAAAAUGAAUGUUGGACCUUCAAUUAUUUAAAAUUGUGGGCUGCCUCCUAUUAAUUAAAUUGGGCUUUCUUAUUUUUAAUUAAUUAAACUAUUAUUAGUUUGAUUAAUUUAUUUAAAGGAUAAUUUUCAUAAUAAUAUUAUAUUAUUAUUAUGUGCAUAUUUUAAGUAAUUACUUAUUAUAUGCUAAGCAUGACAUGAUUUGCAUUAUAUUUUGCAAUAAAAAUAUUUAUGAUUUAAUUGGUUUUAUUUAUAAUUCCAAUUAUUAAAAAUAGAUGAGUAAGAAUAUUGUUGGUGUUCUUAACUCAAGAGAAAUGUUUUCAAUUAUUUAUUCAUUAAAUUUUGAAAACCCGGCUAAGUGAAUCAUAGAAUAUUAAGCACUACACCAUGACUUAAGAUUAGAAUUCAAGGAGACCUAUUGAGAAUAGAAUUCUUGUAGGCUUUGUGCAUCAGGAGGAUUAGCACUGCUAUUCCGAUUCAGAGAUAAGGUUAAACGACAGGCUUUGCCUAGACAGGUGGGCAUUACUUUCCAAAUGUACAAAGUAUGAUUGAGUUAUUAAGCUCUAAAUGUUUCAAUGAAAUGCAAAUUAUUUAUUUAAUGUAAUGAAAACUGUUUAUCCAAUAAAAUGUUUAUGUGCACUCUGCUCUGUUUAAGGCUCGCACAGUUAAUCAAUUGAGGUUCUCUUAUGACCUAAUACGUUGUUUGAGAAUUGUGUACACUUGUUAGUUGACUCGGUGGGUUGAUCUCCAUCGGGCUCUAACCAGAGGCGUUAUAAGGGUGCUCGGCUGGAUGUGUUCCGGAGCAUGAGAAAUAUCAGGCCUGCCUGGGUAGCGUCCCGAGGUCAAUUCAACUUGUCUGAGUUACGUCCUCAGGGCAAGUGUCAGCGGGAGACAGAGAUCCGUCGGUGGCUAAGAGGUCCGGGAUCAUAGCGAGUAACAGAAAGGGAGUGUGACAUGUGCGCACAAAUGAAAGAAAAUGUUUUAACAUGCUUAGAAGUACUUCUUUCAAUUUAAAACCUUCUAAGUCAUGUCCAGUAUGAUUGGAUAAAUUGUCUUUAUUAAAAUAUGAGAUGUUUUAGAAAAUGCAUGCCCACUAAGUACAUUAGUACUUAGCCCAAAAAUACUUUCAAAUGUUUUCAGGUUGGCUGGCCGGUGCUGACGGGACGGAGCUGAGGCUAGCGAUAAAUUCCUAUGAUAGACUUCCGCUGUAGCAAUUACUCAUAUCAGUCUUUUGUUUUCCCAACUUAAGAUCUUCAUGUUAAAUUUCAAAUGAUAUACCUGACCGAGCUUAGACUCUUCACUACUUAAUUUAUGCCAAUGAAUGUCGGUUGUUAGAAGCAUGAAACAAAACUUGUGAUCCAAAGGGGCAUAGCCCGACUUUCUAUCCUAUUUCGGGUUUUUACAAGGUUGUUCCUUGUUUAUUUCUAUGAAUUA